This 179-nucleotide ribosomal RNA is filed under the name Winogradskyella eximia. Lineage: Bacteria; Pseudomonadati; Bacteroidota; Flavobacteriia; Flavobacteriales; Flavobacteriaceae. The record is from RNAcentral.
UAAGGUGGUUAUAGCGACGGGGCUCACCUCUUACCAUUCCGAACAGAGUAGUUAAGCCCGUUUGCGCCGAUGGUACUGCUUUACUGUGGAAGAGUAGGUCGCCGCCUUUUUUAUAUCGAUUUUAAUCGAUAUUUGUAAAACCCUUACUAGAUAACUAGUAAGGGUUUUUUUUGUUUAUG